This 555-nucleotide ribosomal RNA is filed under the name uncultured alveolate. RNAcentral describes it as "partial Eukaryotic large subunit ribosomal RNA". It matches the Rfam family "Eukaryotic large subunit ribosomal RNA", at positions 1152 to 1704 of the family's 3401-position model. The record is from RNAcentral.
GGCGAUGCGGGAUGAACCGAACGCCCUGAUAAAGUGCCGAACUGCUCGCUCAUCAGACCCCACAAAAGGUGUUGGUUCAUUUAGACAGCAGGACGGUGGCCAUGGAAGUCGGAAUCCGCUAAGGAGUGUGUAACAACUCACCUGCCGAAUGAACUAGCCCUGAAAAUGGAUGGCGCUCAAGCGGGCGACUUAUACAGGGCCAUUGGGGCAAGUGCGUAUGCCCCAAUGAGUAGGAGGGCGCGGGGGUCGUGAGGCAGCCUGGGGCGCGAGCCCGGGUGAAACGGCCCCUGGUGCAGAUCUUGGUGGUAGUAGCAAAUACUCAAAUGAGAACUUUGAGGACUGAAGUGGGGAAAGGUUCCGUGUGAACAGCAGUUGGACACGGGUUAGUCGAUCCUAAGCCAUAGGGAAACUCCGUUUUAAAGUGCGCUCUCGGGCGCCGCCUGGCGAAAGGGAAACCGGUUAAUAUUCCGGUACCUCGAUGUGGAUUAUCCGCGGCAACGCAACUGAAGGUGGAGACGUCGGCGGGGGCCCCGGGAAGAGUUCUCUUUUCUUCUU